RNAcentral lists this long non-coding RNA (905 nucleotides) under Medicago truncatula (barrel medic). RNAcentral's name for it is "lncRNA gene15152". Lineage: Eukaryota; Viridiplantae; Streptophyta; Magnoliopsida; Fabales; Fabaceae. The record is from RNAcentral.
UCUAGACUAGAUAGGAAUAGGAAUAGGAAUAGGAAGAGUAAGCUUGUAAAAAACCAAUAAUAGUGUUUCCAUAUCCAGUAUCCAACAAUGCGUGAUCAUCUUCAACAUUUCAAACUUAAACGAGUGUAAUUACAAGGAAGAUUUGUUCAUUCAUUCAUCUCAAUUUACAAAAUGAUUUUAAACACCCUAGUUAGGCAUUGACAACCAGACACAUACUACCUUAGUAAUAAUGAUGAUAUCCAAAUAUCAAACAUUUAUCCGAUCCGACCGGUCACCAUGAUGCAGCAAAAAAAGGAGCAUGAAUUUGUGCCAUUGUAAUUUUUACUUGCAGGCCUGAAACCUGAAUAGCAUAUAUAUUUCAAAGGGUACACUCACUAAAACUAUCAAGGAUAUCACCCCCAACUCAAGUUAAAAUGUGACAGAAUCUUAUCCGCGUAGUUUGUUCUUUAUGAAGCUAUUUGUCAUGCUGUUGUAGAUCAAUUUCCCAGCCUGAUGCCAACUGCAAUAAAAGUUGAUCUGGUGGUACACCUUCCCAACCCUCAGCUGUAUCUGUUGAAGCGUCGUGUAAAUUCCGCAAGAGAUCUUCCUUUACUUCCAUGGGAACGCCAAAAGUAUCGGGGCCAUUUUCAAAUAAUACCUCCACCAACUGAACAUUAUGAUUACAAAUUUAGUAUCUUAAGCCUCAUAUGAAAGAUAUAAACUUAGCAAAAAAAAGGAAAGCAAAUGCAGUAUUGUGUAUAAUGCAGUAAAGUCACCAAAUGAUAAACAAGUGAAGAACUGUUUAAGCUCAAGAAAUGAUUAUGUUUUGAAUGUGUUGUCUUAUAUGACCAAUAACGUUUUCUGAACUUCAUUGUUCAAAUGUAUCUUGAAGAUAAAAAGUUAAGAUUCUAUUAAUCUUGAGAUGC